GUGUGCUUUGUCAGUGUGUUUGUGUGCCGAAUGGGUAACGCAUUAUUAUGUGUAGGUGCAGAUGUCUAGAUCAUUGCACUGGUGAUUGCUGAAGUCAAACAGGAUUGCGUAUGAGAACCUGGUCUGCACACUUAUAUUGAUCCUGAGCUCAGGGGUGGACAAUAUGGGUGCAAGAUAUAUGUACCAGUGAUGGCAUUCCUAUGUCACCAGAAAUACAGUACAAUAGCUGAAUCAUCAGGGGUAACAACUGGCAAAGCAGCUUCACAUUGCAGCCACCUUUCUCAGGUGUUUACCCAGGGUUCUACAAUCCCUUUGACAGAAGCGACAGUUGACUGUUGUCUCUCAAACAGAAGUAAAUGAAGAACUAUACAAAAUAUAAAAUAACACAAAGAUUGUAAGCUUUGUGGGGCUCAUUUUACAAAUAACAGAGCAUUACAUUUCUUCUUUCUGCAGUCUGCUCCAAAUUUUCCAGUAUUAUUUACCAGGACAUGUCUGCAUUAAAUACUGGAAAGCUACUAGGGGCACCUGUUACAAUUAUCCUGCUAUCCUAAAACUUUAAACUAUGGUAAGAGGGGGACAGUGUAGAUUGAGGUCUGUGCCAUAAUAUGCCAAAUAAAUCUUCAUACCAACAGUGUAGGAUAGGGGGCAAUACACAGGGCCCCACUAAACAGGUGGUGCUUGGCUUCUUUGAUUUGAUCCACACAUAAAAGGGGUGAGGGAAGAGAGGGAGCAACAGUGGCUUCAAUCAGGUGAUUUGGGGGACUCUCAGCAAAUUUGUUUUAACUAUUUAUUUGCAGCAGUGACAUUUCAAUAGUUAAAAGAAAACCUAGGGAUUUAGAAGUGUGUUAUGCUUCUCGCAGAGAAAGUGAGAGCUAGUGCUACAUGCAGGGCCAGUGCAAGACUAUUUUGCGCCCUAGGCAAAUCCAAGUAUUUGCACCCCACCCAAAAGAAAGAAAGAUGCCAAGCUUUGUG
Molecule: non-coding RNA, 972 nt
Organism: Pelobates cultripes (western spadefoot toad)
Lineage: Eukaryota; Metazoa; Chordata; Amphibia; Anura; Pelobatidae
Source: the annotation of a GenBank genome assembly